GUCUGACUGAAAAACUAUUGGAACUGCUCAAUAAAUUAACCACACAAUUCCAAAUAUUCAACAAAUAUGUGUGUUAUGUAAAAUAAGUAUAUUUCGUCAUGCAAUAUAAUUAAUUUAGGUGGCAUUCUAUUAAUAAUAAAAGGAUACAAAGGGAAGACCCCCAUUUUCUACCUCCAAAGACCUUACCUUUUUAUCAUGACUCAAAGAAACCUAAACCUAUAUGUCCUGAAUGAAAACAGAUUUUGAUAUAGUCAGUUUUAAUGAGAAAAUUAAUAAAAUUUGAGUUAUC
This 289-nucleotide long non-coding RNA is filed under the name Mytilus galloprovincialis (Mediterranean mussel). The record is from RNAcentral. Lineage: Eukaryota; Metazoa; Mollusca; Bivalvia; Mytilida; Mytilidae.